RNAcentral lists this unclassified non-coding RNA (324 nucleotides) under soil metagenome. Its description in RNAcentral is "partial contains 5.8S ribosomal RNA, internal transcribed spacer 2, and large subunit ribosomal RNA". The stretch from base 1 to 120 matches the Rfam family "5.8S ribosomal RNA", at positions 35 to 154 of the family's 154-position model. The record is from RNAcentral.
GAUGAAGAACGUAGCGAAAUGCGAUAAGUAGUGUGAAUUGCAGAAUUCAGUGAAUCAUCGAAUCUUUGAACGCACAUUGCGCCCCUUGGUAUUCCAUGGGGCAUGCCUGUUCGAGCGUCAUUUGUACCUUCAAGCUUUGCUUGGUGUUGGGUUUUUGUCCCUCGGGACUCGCCUUAAAGUCAUUGGCAGCCAGUGUUUUGGUUUUGAAGCGCAGCACAAGUCGCGAUUCAAGGCUAUCCGCCCGCUUCCACAAGCCUUUUUCACUUUUGACCUCGGAUCAGGUAGGGAUACCCGCUGAACUUAAGCAUAUCAAUAAGCGGAGGA